UUUGCUCCCAGCCCCAGUUCUUGGACUGAGGCCGAGUGAGUGUAAACCAGGGUAAGCUAACCCAGGAGUUUGCACAGAUUGAGGAGAACCUGCAAUCCCCUAACCCUUCUCACUCCAGGAAUGAUUUAGAGUGUGUCUCCCCCCAACCCCGUGGAUGGGGAGGUAUGUUUUUAUGUAAAACCAGGUGGAUUCAUAAUUAGUUCCUUGUGCAUCUCUGUAACAGGAUUUUUCUGCAUAUUGGGGGCACAUUUUGUUAUUUUUUUGGAUUGCUUUAGGGGACAACCUUUCUUCCCUGCUUCAUCAUGUGGAAGUGUGUUUUCACUCCAUUUUCUAAAGAGGCCACUGUAUUUGCCGAUAUUUAAGUGUGCUCUCAUGAGGACAGUGGUUUUCAGUGGUUGGCCCAGCCUGUUGCUGUUGCUGGAAGUCCUUCUUGGGUUGAAGCAGCACACUGCUUGCUGAAGCUGUAGGAGCCUUUUGUGAAAGGAAAUCUCACCUGGAACCUGCAUUGGUAAAGCGUUCAGAAGUGGAGCUGCUCUGCUGGGGGGUUACUGAGGGCUGAUGAGGGGUCGUCGAGGCACCCUGCUGGACCCCUGACCCACUCCUGUCGGGGGCAGCGUGGGAACCAGCUGAUAAGAUGACUGCUUGGGUCUCUGGGAGCUGUCGUCCAGGAGUUUGUAUCUACGAUGUCUGCAACGGGAGGCUUGUGGAGACCUUCCAGCCUUCCUUUCCUCUGCAGUGAUGACCGCAGAUGACAGCUGAUGAUCCAUCAGCCUGGGUUCCAGAAGAGAACCAUGAGAGCAGAGCCCCCAACUGAUAGGCAAUGAGCAUGUACCUCAAGCAAGAAAUAAACCUUUGUUUUAGGCCAAAAAACCAAAAACAAAAACAGCCUUAAUGAAUUUUGGAUUUUCCCCCAUUCUAAGCAUGUAUAAUGGUUUUGAGCCAA
Long non-coding RNA from Balaenoptera acutorostrata (minke whale), 943 nucleotides. RefSeq lists it as uncharacterized. The transcript has 3 exons. NCBI's taxonomy places the organism in Eukaryota, Metazoa, Chordata, Mammalia, Artiodactyla, Balaenopteridae. The record is from RefSeq and is a predicted model, not a curated record.